UCCAGCUCGUCGCUGGCAGUCCCCGAAGAGUGCUCAGCGUCCUUUCGGACCUGGUGGCAACAUCGGGCAAUGGUUGCGCUCGUUUUGGCACUUAAGCCAACACCUCACGGCACGAGCUGACGACAGCCAUGCAGCACCUGUGCAAGCUCUCGACUGGUUACGAGUCGUGGCCCUUUCAGGUUCCUACUUCUUGCAUGUCAAGCCUAGGUAAGGUUCUUCGCGUAGCAUCGAAUUGAACCACAUGUUCCACCGCUUGUGCUGGCCCCCGUCAAUUCCUUUGAGUUUCAACCUUGCGGUCGUACUCCCCAGGUGGGUCACUUAACAGGUUACCUACGGCACUGAACCCCAGACGGGGCCCAACACCUAGUGACCAUAGUUUACGGCUAGGACUAC
RNAcentral lists this unclassified non-coding RNA (393 nucleotides) under uncultured bacterium. RNAcentral describes it as "contains 16S-23S intergenic spacer region". The record is from RNAcentral.